RNAcentral lists this ribosomal RNA (437 nucleotides) under uncultured bacterium. Its description in RNAcentral is "bacterial SSU rRNA". It matches the Rfam family "Bacterial small subunit ribosomal RNA", at positions 28 to 473 of the family's 1533-position model. The record is from RNAcentral.
GAUGAACGCUGGCGGCGUGCUUAAUACAUGCAAGUCGAACGAUGAAGCCGGGAGCUUGCUCCUGGUGGAUUAGUGGCGAACGGGUGAGUAACACGUGAGUAACCUGCCCUUCACUCUGGAAUAACCGUCGGAAACAACGGCUAAUACCGGAUACGACCCUCGGAGGCAUCUUCAGGGGGUGGAAAGAUUUAUCGGUGAAGGAUGGACUCGCGGCCUAUCAGGUAGUUGGUGAGGUAAAGGCUCACCAAGCCGACGACGGGUAGCCGGCCUGAGAGGGUGACCGGCCACACUGGGACUGAGACACGGCCCAGACUCCUACGGGAGGCAGCAGUAGGGAAUAUUGCACAAUGGGCGCAAGCCUGAUGCAGCAACGCCGCGUGAGGGACGACGGCCUUCGGGUUGUAAACCUCUUUUAGUAGGGAAGAAGCGAAAGUGAC